GACGAACGCUGGCGGCGUGCUUAACACAUGCAAGUGGAGCGACGAACCAGGGCUUGCCCUGGGGCAGAGCCGCGAACGGGUGAGUAACACGUGGGUUACCUACCCCGAUGACCGGGACAACCCGAGGAAACUCGGGCUAAUACCGGAUGUGGUCUUCGGACGAAAGGAAGCUUCGGCCUCCGCAUCGGGAUGGGCCCGCGGCGCAUUAGCUUGUUGGUGGGGUAACGGCCUACCAAGGCGACGAUGCGUAGCUGGUCUGAGAGGACGAUCAGCCACACUGGGACUGAGACACGGCCCAGACUCCUACGGGAGGCAGCAGUGGGGAAUCUUGCGCAAUGCGCGAAAGCCUGACGCAGCGACGCCGCGUGAGGGAUGACGGCCU
Molecule: ribosomal RNA, 382 nt
Filed under: uncultured bacterium
Lineage: Bacteria
Description: bacterial SSU rRNA
Rfam family: Bacterial small subunit ribosomal RNA
Source: RNAcentral